GCCUUGUCUACUUAUUGCAUUAAAACAACAUUAGGUGUUACCAACUCAAUUUCAAUUGGCCCAAGAGCCCAAGCCAUGUGGUAUGCCGCACCUAAACCCAUCAGACCUCAAGUAGAAGGUCCUAGGGUCGAUUCCCUGGGUUGAGUGUACCAAGGCCCUUUUAAUUUUACCUUAUUCGAGAUCGCUGAACACUACUCCAUGAUUAACAACUAUCAUCUUUAACAAUUAACUAAUUGGAAACAUUUACAGUACGCUUUCAAACUCACACAAAUUCAUGCUAUGACUAUACGAAAUCAGUAAUCCAUCGCGAAUCAAAAAUCAGCUUGAUUUUCCAUUUCAAAACUAUAUGAAAGAACAACUAAUGAGAAAUUAUGCUAAGCUACCAUUAACAAACAACAUAUUGACAGAAUAGAAUAGUCUCAAUUAACACAACGAGAGAUUAAUGUUUCAGUCGUGCUUGUUAACCAAAUAACUACUACAAACUAUCUACAAAUUAGCAAUCAACAGAGGCAAGCUUCAAUGCAUAAAUUUGAUGGAAUCUCUUCAUUUUUACUUCCAAUUCAACGGUUACAUCAAACCAAUUUUAUAUGUGUACCUGGAAUUUGCAAAAAAAACAGGAAGGGAAGAGUCAGCAGUAGCACAACAAGGCAGCAGCAAUGGAGUUAGCCCAGGAAUAACCAAAAUAACUAGCUGGAUAUAGAUUUGGACAACAGAACUAUCAAACGGCCCUCAGCCGUCAAUCAGGCAACCAAUGCAGGGGUAGAUUGAACUCAAAAAUACCAGAGAUCUCAACAAACACCAACAACAAUAACAAAUAACCCACAACAGCCACUUAGACCUCAAAUACUACUCGAAAUGCAAACAAACAACCUUGAAAUCAAACUUAAUUUCUCCUCGAGCUUUAAUGAAACAGAAAUCAACCAAAAGCUAACUCCAAGCAGACCCAAAUGCACUUAAAUCAAGCACCAAACGUCUAGGUCUUCUCAACAGGAAUUGAAACCAACUUCAAAGGAAAUGAAACAGUAAAUAACUUCUUCUUCUUUUUUUAAUUUUCUGAAGAGCUUUUGUUGAUUUUUUUUUUUUUUGUUUUCUUCUAAAGAACUAAAAUCUAGACAGAAUUUAACUUGAAAUUUGAAAGCUGAAUCAGAUCAUAAAAAUUCAGAAUGGAAAGAAUUUGGGAGCUAAUAAUGGCCAAAAGAAGAGCCCCCAGCAAGGCAAAGCAAGUUUUUAUUUCCUUUUAGCCCCUCCCUCUUUUAAAUUUUACCCAUUUUAUUUCUAACUUGCCACACAAGUAAGUACAACUACUUUUCGAAAAACUACCUAGAAGCCUCUAUCUAGAAGCUUCUAGGGAAUUCUUAUCUAGAUACAUCCCUGAAUUUCCUAAUCUACCCUUACCCCUUCGCUGAACUACCCCCUUGUUCAACUAAAAUCAAAACUACUAUUAGCCUAAAUUAACAUGAAGUCUAUGGCUUAGUUCUUAAUAACACAUGAAGAGAAAAUCAUAAAAAUGUCAACCCAUUAAUGUCAUCAGAUAAUACCCAAACAUAAUUACUAAUUAAAUCAAGUAGAACCAACUCACAUUAACACCCAAAAGCACUUGCUUAACAAAUUCAAACAAUAAGUUAAACCUAUGAAUGGAGUAACACAAAAUCAAAACUGGAGAAACUUAUUAUUAAUUUAACUUCAGAUUAAUGGUUAACAACCACUAAAAGAUAUAUCAAAAAGAAAGACAAAUAAAACUAAACAGAAGAACUCACUGGGCAGGAUUCCGACCAUUUAACAGUGUUCCCAUUUUAGCACUUUUCCCAUGAUAUUCGACUGCUCUGAAUGACCAAAUCCCCAUGAGGAUAAUGAGAGGAUUGCAUGAUGCCAAUUUGGUACGAUGUGGGCCAUUUAGGGUUUUGGCCGGGAAAUAUUUUUUCAAUAUUUGAGAAAUUCCGGCCACAUUCGAGGCAAACGGUUAUGGGGGUCGGGUAGAGGAGGUUCCGGCGGUAAUACAGUGUAAAUUUGGGAUCGUUUGGCACGACUUGCAUCAUGGCUGGAAAAUCUCCGACGGAAUAAGGCAAGAUUUGAAGGACACUGGAAAUGGAUUCAUGAUGAGGGUGAAGAGGAGAUUUCAUGGUGUUUUUCUGGAGUGGAUUAGGAUGAACGGCGUUCGCCGGCAGUGGGGCUCCGACGAGGUUAGAGAUAGUACGAGGAAGAAAGGACACGGUCUUUAAGGUUACUAAAGGAAUUCAGACAAUAUGUGAUUGUCACGAUUAACAUAGGCUGUUGGAUUGAGG
This 2282-nucleotide long non-coding RNA is filed under the name Nicotiana benthamiana. RNAcentral describes it as "long non-coding RNA (NBEN_LNC021388)". Lineage: Eukaryota; Viridiplantae; Streptophyta; Magnoliopsida; Solanales; Solanaceae. The record is from RNAcentral.